GAUGAAGAACGUAGCGAAAUGCGAUACGUAAUGUGAAUUGCAGAAUUCAGUGAAUCAUCGAAUCUUUGAACGCACAUUGCGCCUGCCAGCACUCUGGCAGGCAUGCCUGUUCGAGCGUCAUUUCAACCAUCAAGCCCUAGGCUUGCGUUGGAGCCCUGCGGCUGCCGCAGGCCCCUAAAAGCAGUGGCGGGCUCGCUAUCACACCGAGUGCAGUAGAUUACUCUUCGCUCAGGGCGUGUGGCGGGUUCCAGCCGUGAAACCCCCUACUUCUCAAGGUUGACCUCGGAUCAGGUAGGAAUACCCGCUGAACUUAAGCAUAUCAAUUAGCGGAGGA
This 334-nucleotide unclassified non-coding RNA is filed under the name soil metagenome. Its description in RNAcentral is "partial contains 5.8S ribosomal RNA, internal transcribed spacer 2, and large subunit ribosomal RNA". The stretch from base 1 to 120 matches the Rfam family "5.8S ribosomal RNA", at positions 35 to 154 of the family's 154-position model. The record is from RNAcentral.